AAUGAACGUUGGCGGCGUGGAUUAGGCAUGCAAGUCGGACGGGCCGCAAGGCCAGUGGCGGAAGGGUGAGUAAGGCGAAGGUAACCAACCCCGCGGACGGGCAUAGCCGGGGGAAACCCCGGGUAAUUCCCGGCGACGCAAGAUAUCGGCAUCGAUGUCUUGCCAAAGAUUCAUCGCCGCGGGACGGGCCUUCGUGGUAUUAGCUUGUUGGUGGGGUGACGGCCCACCAAGGCCGCGAUGCCUACCGGGCGUGCGAGCGUGGCCCGGCACACUGGGACUGAGACACUGCCCAGACUCCUACGGGAGGCUGCAGUCGAGAAUCUUCGGCAAUGGGCGCAAGCCUGACCGAGCGACGCCGCGUGGAGGACGAAGGCCUUCGGGUUGUAAACUCCUGUCGAGGGGGAGGAAGGCGAAAGCUUGACCGAUCCCUGGAGGAAGCACGGGCUAAGUUCGUGCCAGCAGCCGCCGAGUAACAC
This 476-nucleotide ribosomal RNA is filed under the name uncultured bacterium. Its description in RNAcentral is "bacterial SSU rRNA". It matches the Rfam family "Bacterial small subunit ribosomal RNA", at positions 28 to 526 of the family's 1533-position model. The record is from RNAcentral.